GACGAACGCUGGCGGCGUGCCUAAUACAUGCAAGUUGAGCGCUGAAGGUUGGUACUUGUACCAACUGGAUGAGCAGCGAACGGGUGAGUAACGCGUGGGGAAUCUGCCUUUGAGCGGGGGACAACAUUUGGAAACGAAUGCUAAUACCGCAUAAAAACUUUAAACACAAGUUUUAAGUUUGAAAGAUGCAAUUGCAUCACUCAAAGAUGAUCCCGCGUUGUAUUAGCUAGUUGGUGAGGUAAAGGCUCACCAAGGCGAUGAUACAUAGCCGACCUGAGAGGGUGAUCGGCCGCAUUGGGACUGAGACACGGCCCACACACCUACGGGAGGCAGCAGUAGGGAAUCUUCGGCGAUGGACGAGAGUCUGACCGGGCAACGCCGCGUGAGUGAAGAAGGUUUUCGGAUCGUAAAACUCUGUUGGUAGAGAAGAACGUUGGUGAGAGUGGAAAGCUCAUCAAGUGACGGUAACUACCCAGAAAGCGACGGCUAACUACGUG
This 497-nucleotide ribosomal RNA is filed under the name uncultured bacterium. RNAcentral describes it as "partial 16S ribosomal RNA". It matches the Rfam family "Bacterial small subunit ribosomal RNA", at positions 28 to 507 of the family's 1533-position model. The record is from RNAcentral.